RNAcentral lists this long non-coding RNA (296 nucleotides) under Populus trichocarpa (black cottonwood). RNAcentral's name for it is "long non-coding RNA (PTRI_LNC000364)". Lineage: Eukaryota; Viridiplantae; Streptophyta; Magnoliopsida; Malpighiales; Salicaceae. The record is from RNAcentral.
UGUGAUUUGUUUUUCUUAUUUAUCAUUUUUGAGAUGAUGAUUUUUUUUUAUUAUAUUGAGCAUGUUUAGUUUUUUUACGAGGUUAGCGUGAUUCAUCUAUAAUUUUUUUUUAUUUUAUAUAGAUUAAGCUUAUUUUAAAAAAUAUAUAUUUAUUUUUUUACAAUAUUUUUAAUAUGUGCAUCCUAGUAUGUAAUUUUUUUUCUUUUAUUUUAUUUAAUAAAUUUUAUGUGUAUGUCGAUUUUUGUUACAUAUUGGUUUUCAUAAAUAAAUUCAUUAAAUACAACCGAGUAAAUCAC